Molecule: long non-coding RNA, 553 nt
Filed under: Homo sapiens (human)
Lineage: Eukaryota; Metazoa; Chordata; Mammalia; Primates; Hominidae
Description: non-protein coding PART1:12
Source: RNAcentral
UGUAAAUAGGUUGUGAUAAGUACUAAAUGCACGCUGCUAAUGGCAUCAUCACCUCUGGCUCUUCUCAAUCCUGCGUUUCCCAUGUUGUGUCAUGCAACAGAGCUGUCACACUGCCUCUUCCUCUUCAUCUCUGGUGCCACCUGUGAUUUACUUGCACACUACCUUGUUUCUGAACUAUUGCAGCCCCUCCCAACUUAUCUCACUGCCUCAUUCACCUGCCUUUCAAAACUGGCCCACCUCCUGCUGCCCAAUAACCUGAUGUUGUCACUCUCAUAUUUAAAACCCAUAAGUGCUGCCGACUUCAGAUUCUCCCCUGAAGUUUCUCAGGCCUUUUGGCAUCAGACUGGAAGUUAUGCCAUUGGCUCCCCUGGUUCUCAGACCUUUGGACUCAGACUGAAUUAUACCACUGGCUUUCCUGGUUCUCCAGCUUCAAGAUGACAUAUUGUGAGACUUUUCAACCUCCAUAAUUGCAUGAGCCAAUUUCCACAAUAUAUCUCCUCUUAUGUAUCUAUAUAUUUCCUUAAAUGAACUGAUGGAGCUGAAAACCAUGGCA